RNAcentral lists this ribosomal RNA (873 nucleotides) under uncultured euryarchaeote. RNAcentral's name for it is "bacterial SSU rRNA". It matches the Rfam family "Archaeal small subunit ribosomal RNA", at positions 408 to 1282 of the family's 1478-position model. Lineage: Archaea; Methanobacteriati; Methanobacteriota. The record is from RNAcentral.
UUNNNCUAAGUGUAAAGUUAACUUGGAGAAUAAGUGGUGGGUAAGACUGGUGCCAGCCGCCGCGGUAACACCAGCGCCACGAGUGGCAACCGCGUUUAUUGGGCCUAAAGCGUCCGUAGCCGGUCAAGUAAAUCUUUUGUGAAAUCGUCAAGCUCAACUUGACGGCGUGCUUAAGACACUGCUUGACUCGAGACCGGGAGGAGUCGGAAGUAUUCUGGGGGGAGCGGUAAAAUGUGAUAAUCCCUGGAAGACUAUCUAUGGCGAAGGCAUCCGACCAGAACGGAUCUGACGGUGAGGGACGAAGGCUAGGGGAGCGAUCCGGAUUAGAUACCCGAGUAGUCCUAGCAGUAAACGCUGUGAGCUAGAUGUUGCGCCUCUCAUGAGGAUGCGCAGUAUCGAAUCGAAGGAGUUAAGCUCAUCGCCUGGGAAGUACGGUCGCAAGACUGAAACUUUAAGGAAUUGGCGGGGGAGCACCACCAGGGGUGAGGCGUGCAGUUUAAUCUAACUCGACACAGAGAACCUUACUAGAGGCGACGGCAGGAAGAAGGUCAGUUGAAGGGCUUGCCUGACGAGCCGAGAGUAGUGCAUGGCCAGCGUCAGCUCGUGCCGUAAGGUGUCCAGUUAAGUCUGGCAACGAGCGAGACCUAUAUCUACUAUUGCUAGCGGCAAUUUAUUGGACCGAGCACUUUGUAGGGACUGCCUUGGAAACAAGGAGGAAGGUGUAGGCAACGCUAGGUCUGUAUGCUCCGAAUCCUCUAGGCUACACGCGCGCAACAAUGGUACUGACAAUGGGCUGCAACUCCGAAAGGAGAAGCUAAUCCUCGAAACGGUACCUCAGUUCGGAUUGCGGAUUGCAACUCAUCCGCAUGACGC